AUUAAACCACCAUGUCCAUGUCUUCAUCCCUGAAUGAAACCGCACCACGCUAGGUGCAGUUAACAUGUGCCAGUUUUAAAACAAUAAAAGACGAAGUUUACUUUCUUCGGGAGGAAAUAACUGAAUCAGCCGCGCUUUUGAUCGGAAUGACAGUGAUAUGGUUUCUUGUUGAGGUUAUGGAGUACAAUUUCGUGGGUCUCCUCUGUCAUAUUUCCAUUUCCUUAAUACUUAUAAUUUACAUAAGGAUUUGGCUUAUUACAAGUUUCUACUGGGAUCCCCUCAACAUUCUCGGAAUAACUUACUUUGAAGCCAGAUUUAGAGAAUUAAUUGCUCACAUUUUCUGCUCAAGAUUUGAUUUCGUCUUAGGAAACUUUCUCAGAAUCGCAUAUGGGCAAAAUCCAACACUCUUGA
Molecule: long non-coding RNA, 411 nt
Organism: Pistacia vera
Lineage: Eukaryota; Viridiplantae; Streptophyta; Magnoliopsida; Sapindales; Anacardiaceae
Exons: 3
Source: RefSeq, a predicted model, not a curated record